RNAcentral lists this ribosomal RNA (311 nucleotides) under uncultured bacterium. Its description in RNAcentral is "bacterial SSU rRNA". It matches the Rfam family "Bacterial small subunit ribosomal RNA", at positions 28 to 334 of the family's 1533-position model. The record is from RNAcentral.
GACGAACGCUGGCGGCGGGCUUAACACAUGCAAGUCGAACGAGAAACUUAGAGCUUGCUCUAGGUGGACAGUGGCGCACGGGUGCGUAACGCGUAGGCAACCUGCCUUCAAGAGGGGAAUAACUACCGGAAACGGUGGCUAAUUCCGCAUAUUGUCUGUUUAUCGCAUGAUUUACAGAUGAAAGCCUUCGGGUGCUUGGAGAUGGGCCUGCGUCGGAUUAGGUAGUUGGUAGGGUAAUGGCUUACCAAGCCUACGAUCCGUAGCUGGUCUGAGAGGAUGAUCAGCCACACUGGCACUGAGACACGGGCCAG